RNAcentral lists this ribosomal RNA (497 nucleotides) under uncultured bacterium. Its description in RNAcentral is "partial 16S ribosomal RNA". It matches the Rfam family "Bacterial small subunit ribosomal RNA", at positions 28 to 507 of the family's 1533-position model. The record is from RNAcentral.
GAUGAACGCUGGCGGCGUGCCUAAUACAUGCAAGUCGAGCGAACAGACGAGGAGCUUGCUCCUCUGACGUUAGCGGCGGACGGGUGAGUAACACGUGGAUAACCUACCUAUAAGACUGGGAUAACUUCGGGAAACCGGAGCUAAUACCGGAUAAUAUAUUGAACCGCAUGGUUCAAUAGUGAAAGACGGUUUUGCUGUCACUUAUAGAUGGAUCCGCGCCGCAUUAGCUAGUUGGUAAGGUAACGGCUUACCAAGGCGACGAUGCGUAGCCGACCUGAGGGGGUGAUCGGCCACACUGGAACUGAGACACGGUCCAGACUCCUACGGGAGGCAGCAGUAGGGAAUCUUCCGCAAUGGGCGAAAGCCUGACGGAGCAACGCCGCGUGAGUGAUGAAGGUCUUCGGAUCGUAAAACUCUGUUAUUAGGGAGGAACAAAUGUGUAAGUAACUAUGCACGUCUUGACGGUACCUAAUCAGAAAGCCACGGCUAACUACGUG